This is an RNA transcript of Salvelinus namaycush (lake trout), 2675 nucleotides long. It is a transcript of the gene named multivesicular body subunit 12A-like, with no coding region annotated. NCBI's taxonomy places the organism in Eukaryota, Metazoa, Chordata, Actinopteri, Salmoniformes, Salmonidae. The record is from RefSeq and is a predicted model, not a curated record. The transcript is spliced from 6 exons.
UGUGGCCAGGUGAAUCUCAGAGCCAGGUGAGAGUGAUGGUAACCCUCUCUCUGUGGCCAGGUGAAUCUCAGAGCCAGGUGAGAGUGAUGGUAACCCUCUCUCUGUGGCCAAAUGAAUCUCAGAGCCAGGUGAGAGUGAUGGUAACCCUCUCUCUGUGGCCAGGUGAAUCUCAGAGCCAGGUGAGAGUGUUGGGAACCCUCUCUCUGUGGCCAGGUGGAUCUCAGAGCCAGGUGAGAGUGUUGGGAACCCUCUCUCUGUGGCCAGGUGGAUCUCAGAGCCAGGUGAGAGUGUUGGUAACCCUCUCUCUGUGGCCAGGUGGAUCUCAGAGCCAGGUGAGAGUGAUGGUAACCCUCUCUCUGUGGCCAGGUAAAUCUCAGAGCCAGGUGAGAGUGAUGGUAAACCUCUCUCUGUGGCCAGGUGAGAGUGAUGGUAACCCUCUCUCUGUGGCCAGGUGAAUCUCAGAGCCAGGUGAGAGUGAUGGUAACCCUCUCUCUGUGGCCAGGUGGAUCUCAGAGCCAGGUGAGAGUGUUGGUAACCCUCUCUCUGUGGCCAGGUGGAUCUCAGAGCCAGGUGAGAGUGAUGGUAACCCUCUCUCUGUGGCCAGGUGGAUCUCAGAGCCAGGUGAGAGUGAUGGUAACCCUCUCUCUGUGGCCAGGUGAAUCUCAGAGCCAGGUGAGAGUGAUGGUAAACCUCUCUCUGUGGCCAGGUGGAUCUCAGAGCCAGGUGAGAGUGAUGGUAACCCUCUCUCUGUGGCCAGGUGAAUCUCAGAGCCAGGUGAGAGUGAUGGUAAACCUCUCUCUGUGGCCAGGUGAAUCUCAGAGCCAGGUGAGAGUGAUGGUAACCCUCUCUCUGUGGCCAGGUGAAUCUCAGAGCCAGGUGAGAGUGAUGGUAAACUUCUACUCAGAAUUCCACAGACUGACUUAGGUCUCCCUGUGUCCAUAGCAACGCUCCACCCAUGCCCCCUGGCAGGAAGCUCAGCCAUCGCCACAGCAACCUCCAAUUGAACGACACUCUGGACAAAGUGGUUGACAGCAGCAACAUCUACGGCAUCUCAGCCAUAGAUGGUGUUCCCUUCACUCUGCACCCCAAGUUCAAGACCCAAACCAACGGCACGACCCCAACAAACACUCUGAACAACAUUCGCAUCAAGUCUGUCCAGGACAUUGAAAAUGAGUACAACUACACUUUCACCGUGGAGGAAAACGCAGCCAAGAGAACCAGACCUCUCACCCCAGGAAGCACCUCUUAAGCUCAAUGACCUUUCAACUCCGACCUCAACAACGGCGGCCUGCUCGACCCACAACACUACGGGGUUCAAUGUGAUAUGUCGGGGUCAUGAAAUGAUAAUCAAUGUCCAAGUGCCUAGAAGAUGACUGACUAGAACAGAAGUGUCAUUCUGCAUUCCAGAGUUCCUUCACAACUCCAUUGUACCGACAUUCUUAUUCCGUGUUCUAAACUCUCACACAUGUCAUUCUCACGCCCCGUAUAUGGGACCAGUUAUAUAUGUUAGAGAUGACUCUUUGAGGGAGAAGAGAACGUUGUCUGGCAGGGUAUGCUUGUUUCUCUUGUUAGAAUAAUGGAAGGAACCUGUUGUGGUGGACCUGUUAACGUCAGGCUAUGGAUCUUCUUCUUUAUUGGGAUGUUUAGGGACCAAACUAAAUGUUGUUACACUUUCAAUGUAAAUAAUGUUACUGGUAUGUCUCUGUGGUGAAACAUGGGUCAUUUCAUGGUUUAAAAAGAAUAAGGAAGUAUGGUUACCUGUAACUGGUCGUAUCUGUAUAUUGUGUCUCGCAUGCAAGUAUAAACAAAUAAAAUACCAAAUCAUUUGACGUGUGUACCGUUCUUAAAUGGUUUGUUAUUAAGGAAAGUUUGAUAUCUGUCACAGGGAGAUUAAACAUGUAAACACAGCGACUGCUGACACUUACGCUCGGACUGAUAGACACACCCACUUUUCUGCACGUUCAAACAGGUGAUAGGAGAUUUGUUUCCGUGUAUAACCCAUAACACAAUCUGAACCUCAGAGUCUGUAGCUUUCACCUGUAUCCACACUAGGUGCACCAGUCGACGGAAAAUUCAGGUUUUGGGGAUUCAACUCGAUCCGGAGUCAGGUGGAUAGAAGAUCCUGCAACCACUUUGUCAAUUUAAAUGCAAAACAAAGAUUUGGGGGAGAGAGAUACGAUGACCCAUUCCCCUGGCUGUAAGUAUUGAUCGGUCCCGUUAACAGUAAGUAUUGAUUGGUUCCCUCUACAUAUAUUUAGUGGUGCCCUCUCCACUUGACAUCCAUGUCACCAGUCAGAUCUGAACCCUCCCGCAUAGAAAACCAACACCUUAACCAUUAGGCCAAGAGGACAUUCUGUCUCAAGCUGAGGGUGACACGUAUUUUAUACCUCAGGUAGUACCUCAUCAGAAGAGCUUGAGUCUGACUCACCUCCAUUACAUACAGGGAGGAUAACCAAGGAAAAGACAUGUCUUUUAAAGCUUGUUGUCUGUAACGGUCUUUUUCAGUAUCUGGUCUGGGGAUCAUUCAGCUGGGGAAGACUGGAGCAGGGAUGAGUGCAACAGGAAACACCAAAGAGGUGUUUAUAGAAGAGUUCUCUUCUGAGUCUGUGACCACACAAUGUGAGGAUGUCCAGAGGAUGAAGAGUACAGCUUCAGACACUACUGAAACAGCAGGA